GCUUCUUUCCUGUCGACGCCGUGCAGUCAGACGCGGGAACGGACAAGGAAGAGGUGGUGCAUCAGCGAGGAGGUGAAGAAGGAGACAAAACAGGUUGGUGCGCCCUGUAAAAGAAAAAGGGUAAAUCGCGAAGCAAGUUUUGACUCGGUCAGUCAACAACACCCGGAGCAGCCAUCUUGUCAGUGCAGCAGAUAACUCAAGGCCAGGAGCAGCUGAUCAGCCGACCUGAGUGAGCCGGAUGGUGUGUGCAGGGCACGGCAGUUCAGAAAGCCCAAGGACUUCAAAGCGGAGAGAUGGCAGGAUCUGCCCAAUUUCCAGACAAACUCUUUUUAAACUAUUUUUAUGGACCUCUUUUUGAACUGGUUUACGAACGUCUUUUUGAACUAUUUUAUGGACCUAUUUUGGAACUAUUUUACAAACUCUUUUUGAACUGACCUUUCCUGUGAAUUGUUUACGACCUUCUCUGUGAACUUUUUGCGACCUUUGUCCUUUGGAAACAGCGGUGACCAUGUGGUCAGGGAGGGUCCAAAAUAAAAGAAAGAGGCGUGCAAUCUUUUGGCAGAGCGUGCUGAGAUACUGUGCAAGGGUACAGUGUACAGACGACUCUCCUCAAUAUUGAGUCCAA
Long non-coding RNA from Entelurus aequoreus (snake pipefish), 625 nucleotides. RefSeq lists it as uncharacterized. Lineage: Eukaryota; Metazoa; Chordata; Actinopteri; Syngnathiformes; Syngnathidae. The transcript is spliced from 4 exons. The record is from RefSeq and is a predicted model, not a curated record.